This 904-nucleotide ribosomal RNA is filed under the name uncultured bacterium. Its description in RNAcentral is "bacterial SSU rRNA". It matches the Rfam family "Bacterial small subunit ribosomal RNA", at positions 601 to 1504 of the family's 1533-position model. The record is from RNAcentral.
CGUGGAGCUUAACUCCAUCAUGGCAGUGGAAACUGAAAGGCUUGAGUAUGGUAGGGGCAGAGGGAAUUCCCGGUGUAGCGGUGAAAUGCGUAGAUAUCGGGAAGAACACCAGUGGCGAAGGCGCUCUGCUGGGCCAUUACUGACGCUCAUGGACGAAAGCCAGGGGAGCGAAAGGGAUUAGAUACCCCUGUAGUCCUGGCCGUAAACGAUGAACACUAGGUGUCGGGGGAAUCGACCCCUUCGGUGUCGUAGCUAACGCGUUAAGUGUUCCGCCUGGGGAGUACGCACGCAAGUGUGAAACUCAAAGGAAUUGACGGGGGCCCGCACAAGCGGUGGAGUAUGUGGUUUAAUUCGAUGCAACGCGAAGAACCUUACCAGGGUUUGACAUCCUGCGAACCUCUUAGAAAUUUGAGGGUGCCUUCGGGAAUGCAGUGACAGGUGGUGCAUGGCUGUCGUCAGCUCGUGUCGUGAGAUGUUGGGUUAAGUCCCGCAACGAGCGCAACCCACGUUUUUAGUUGCCAGCAUUUAGUUGGGCACUCUAGAAAGACCGCCGGUGAUAAACCGGAGGAAGGUGUGGAUGACGUCAAGUCAUCAUGCCCCUUACACCCUGGGCUACACACGUACUACAAUGCUACGGACAAAGGGCAGCAAACUCGCGAGAGCUAGCAAAUCCCAUAAACCGUGGCUCAGUUCAGAUCGUAGGCUGCAACUCGCCUACGUGAAGUAGGAAUCGCUAGUAAUCGCAGGUCAGCAUACUGCGGUGAAUACGUUCCCGGGCCUUGUACACACCGCCCGUCACACCAUGGAAGUUGGCCAUGCCCGAAGUCGUUACUCCAACCCUUGUGGAGGAGGACGCCGAAGGUGGGGCUAAUGACUGGGGUGAAGUCAUAACAAGGUAGCCGUA